GAUGAAAGCUGGCGGCGUGCCUAAUACAUGCAAGUCGAGCGGUAAGGCCUCUUCGGAGGUACACGAGCGGCGGACGGCUGAGUAACACGUAGGAACGUACCCCAAAGUGAGGGAUAACUGCUCGAAAGAGUAGCUAAUACCGCAUGUGAUCCACGGAUUAAAGCUUUAUGCGCUUUGGGAACGGCCUGCGUUCGAUUAGCUAGAUGGUAGUGUAAUGGACUACCAUGGCGACGAUCGAUAGCUGGUCUGAGAGGAUGAUCAGCCAGACUGGGACUGAGACACGGCCCAGACUCCUACGGGAGGCAGCAGUAGGGAAUUUUCCACAAUGGGCGAAAGCCUGAUGGAGCAACGCCGCGUGCAGGAUGAAUGCCUUAGGGUUGUAAACUGCUUUUAUUAGUGACGAUUAUGACGGUAACUAAUGAAUAAGGACAUGCUAACUACGUGCCAGCCGCCGCAGUAA
This 460-nucleotide ribosomal RNA is filed under the name uncultured bacterium. RNAcentral's name for it is "partial 16S ribosomal RNA". It matches the Rfam family "Bacterial small subunit ribosomal RNA", at positions 28 to 523 of the family's 1533-position model. The record is from RNAcentral.